CCGUGCUAGGUGGGAAGGUAGCGGUGUCUUGUAACUCGCAAUCCGCUCUAGCGAGACUGAACUCCUUCUCUGAGGCGAUUAGAUAUGUAGGGUCUGACUUAUGCACGUAGUGUUGACGUCUGGGUCCUGCGCAAUGAGUACCCAUGAACCAUGUCAGGUCCGGAAGGAAGCAGCAUUAAGUGGUUUUUCUCAUGUGCCGCAGGGUUACCUUCACUGAGCUAACGACAUAUGUAGCGCUUAUGUUCUUUCGACGAAGGAAGGUGCACGG
RNAcentral lists this signal recognition particle RNA (268 nucleotides) under Paenisporosarcina cavernae. Its description in RNAcentral is "Bacterial large signal recognition particle RNA". It matches the Rfam family "Bacterial large signal recognition particle RNA". Rfam says of the family: The signal recognition particle (SRP) is a universally conserved ribonucleoprotein involved in the co-translational targeting of proteins to membranes. Archaeal SRP consists of a 7S RNA and homologues of the eukaryotic SRP19 and SRP54 proteins. In most bacteria, the SRP consists of a 4.5S RNA and the Ffh protein (a homologue of the eukaryotic SRP54 protein). Lineage: Bacteria; Bacillati; Bacillota; Bacilli; Caryophanales; Caryophanaceae. The record is from Rfam by way of RNAcentral.